CCCUUAGAUGUCCUGGGCCGCACGCGUGCUACACUGACGCAUACAGCGAGCACUUUCCAGUUCCGAGAGGCUACUGGUAAUCAUCAAUAUGCGUCGUGAUGGGGAUAGAUCUUUGGAAUUCUGGAUCUUGAACGAGGAAUGCCUAGUAAUCGCAGGUCAUUAGCCUGCGAUGAUUACGUCCCUGCCCUUUGUACACACCGCCCGUCGCACCUACCGAUUGGAUGGUCCGGUGAAGCCUCGGGAUUGUGGUUCUUGCCGCUUUAUUGUGGCGUGACCGCGAGAACUUGUCUAAACCUUAUCAUCUAGAGGAAGGUGAAGUCGUAACA
This 326-nucleotide ribosomal RNA is filed under the name uncultured eukaryote. RNAcentral's name for it is "partial 18S ribosomal RNA". It matches the Rfam family "Eukaryotic small subunit ribosomal RNA", at positions 1470 to 1796 of the family's 1831-position model. The record is from RNAcentral.